This 492-nucleotide ribosomal RNA is filed under the name uncultured bacterium. Its description in RNAcentral is "partial 16S ribosomal RNA". It matches the Rfam family "Bacterial small subunit ribosomal RNA", at positions 29 to 507 of the family's 1533-position model. The record is from RNAcentral.
AGUGAACGCUGGCGGUAGGCCUAACACAUGCGAGUCGAACGGCAGCACAGUAAGAGCUUGCUCUUACGGGUGGCGAGUGGCGGACGGGUGAGGAAUACAUCGGAAUCUACUUUUUCGUGGGGGAUAACGUAGGGAAACUUACGCUAAUACCGCAUACGACCUACGGGUGAAAGCAGGGGAUCUUCGGACCUUGCGCGAUUGAAUGAGCCGAUGUCGGAUUAGCUAGUUGGCGGGGUAAGGGCCCACCAAGGCGACGAUCCGUAGCUGGUCUGAGAGGAUGAUCGGCCACACUGGAACUGAGACACGGUCCAGACUCCUACGGGAGGCAGCAGUGGGGAAUAUUGGACAAUGGGCGCAAGCCUGAUCCAGCCAUACCGCGUGGGUGAAGAAGGCCUUCGGGUUGUAAAGCCCUUUUGUUGGGAAAGAAAAGCAGCAGGUUAAUACCCCGCUGUUCUGACGGUACCCAAAGAAUAAGCACCGGCUAACUUCGUG